Molecule: signal recognition particle RNA, 303 nt
Filed under: Thalictrum thalictroides
Lineage: Eukaryota; Viridiplantae; Streptophyta; Magnoliopsida; Ranunculales; Ranunculaceae
Description: Plant signal recognition particle RNA
Rfam family: Plant signal recognition particle RNA
Source: Rfam by way of RNAcentral
GCCGAGCUCAGCAACGAGAGCUUAUAACUCAAGUGGGGGCAUUAAGGUGAUUGGACUUGGGCUUUGCCUACCUGGUCGGGCUUGUGGUGCACAUACUGACUCGCCCGGUCCAAGUUGGGAUUUGGGCCAUGUGUCAUGGGCGAAGGCCUGCGACACUUGGUUACUAGAGAGGAGGGCACCUCGUCAGGCUGGUUUCACAGAGCAGCGAAAACCUCCCUAUCUCGACAGUGGAAGGAUAACGAGAUAGGUGCUCUUUGAGCCCAUUAAGGCCAGAUGGGCCCAGCGCAAAGAACAAUCACUUUU